RNAcentral lists this non-coding RNA (31 nucleotides) under Mus musculus (house mouse). Lineage: Eukaryota; Metazoa; Chordata; Mammalia; Rodentia; Muridae. The record is from RNAcentral.
UGGCACAAAAGAAUAUCAUCCAUAUAAUGUA